Molecule: long non-coding RNA, 1410 nt
Filed under: Serinus canaria (Common canary)
Lineage: Eukaryota; Metazoa; Chordata; Aves; Passeriformes; Fringillidae
Description: lncRNA (ENSSCAG00000016344.1)
Source: RNAcentral
AUGUCUGGCUGGCUGGGUGCUGAUGCUGAGAGCAUUUUGGGAGCACUGCUGAGCUCCCACAGAGCCAGAGUGGCUGGUGAUAGAACUCGAUGUGUUUGUGUUUUAUGUCAGUUUUAUGCUACUUUUUUUUUUUUUAAAGGUGAAACUGUCUGGGCAGCUCCAGCAAAGCCAGUGACACUGGAGGCUCUGGAAAUGGAUGGAGAUCUUCGUGUCACCGCAGGAAUGGGAUUUGCUUGUAAAGAGCAUCUUCGAGAUGAAACCUGGUCCAUGCUUGAAGACCACUCUUUGCUGGAGAAAUGCACAACACAAACAAAGUGUGCAGCUCCCAGGACAGCCCAAAAGUUGGCCAGGAGAAGGAGAAGAGACAGAGAAGGAAGAGAGGAGGUGCUUAGAGCACAUGCCUUGGGGAUGGCUCCCGUGCCAGGGCAGGGGCAGUGCACAGCAGCUGUUUGUGUGAUCCACACAAUGCCAGUGACUCAGUGGCUGAAUCAGAUGAGGAAUGUCCUGGUUCCAUCCCCCAGGAAGGUGCACUGGGGUGAUGCCAGAAGGGCCCAGCCUGUGCCAUUCCCACAGUGUCAGCAGCUCAGGGUGGGAGUUGAUGUGUGGUGGGUGACUGAUCUGAGACUCUCUCAUCUCAGGGAGAAGAGCAGCAGCACCCACGCUCUGCUUCCAGCCAGCUGAACAGCCUCCUGCCCCUUUUAGCUCUCCCAGCCUCAUAACACUUUGGUCCCCUUGUCACCUGCACCCAGAUUCUCACCUGCCAGGUGCCACAGGGCUCUGCCAGAGUAGAUCCACCAGCCUGAGCACGUUGGAUUCAUGUGGGACACAGGGGCUUUCCUGAGAAAUCUGCCUUGGUGGCUCUACUGUGCCCUAACUGGGUGGCUUUGCUGUGGGUUCCUACUCUGCCCAGCUCUGAGAGUCCCUCUUCACCUUUGCUUAUCCCUCAGUUUCUGUAAAAACCCACCAGCUCCAUCACACACAGUCCUGCUUCCCCAUGGAGCAGGACCUGCCUGUGUUCUGGCCUGCUGGUUGGGCACAUUGUGUGCCAAAUCUCUUCCAGCUCAUGGGGAAUUUCAUAAACUUGUUCAGUUCUAGCAGGUCCUGUGAGUGCCUGAUCCAGCAGGGCUCCCUAAACCUCAGGGGGAAAAAACAUCUUCACAGUGAACUGUCUGAAUAGGGAUGGACUAGAAAUUCAACCUUUGUGAUUCAGAGCCUCUGUGAUCCAGGAUGGAGCAGAUGCUCUCAGUCUCUUGCACCUUCUCCUCAUCUUUUGACCCUUUGUGCUCCUUCUGUUUAACAAUUGAAAAACCCUUCCUGCAUCUCUCUCUGCUGAAUAUCUUGGUAUCACUUUUGUUUUCCAACCUCCCCUUUCCCAAUAAAAACAGUCCUGAAGGAAAAAUAAUGUAGAGA